This 477-nucleotide ribosomal RNA is filed under the name uncultured bacterium. RNAcentral's name for it is "partial 16S ribosomal RNA". It matches the Rfam family "Bacterial small subunit ribosomal RNA", at positions 30 to 507 of the family's 1533-position model. The record is from RNAcentral.
AUUGAACGCUGGCGGCAUGCCUUACACAUGCAAGUCGAACGGUAACAGGUUAAGCUGACGUGUGGCGAGCGGGGGAGUGAUGUAUCGGAACGUGCACAGUCGUGGGUGAUAACUGCUCGAAAGAGCAGCUAAUACCGCAUACGACCUGAGGGUGAAAGCGGGGGGUCGCAAGACCUCGCGCGAUUGGAGCGGCCGAUAUCAGAUGAGGUAGUUGGUGAGGUAAAGGCUCACCAAGCCGACGAUCUGUAGCUGGUCUGAGAGGAAGACCAGCCACACUGGGACUGAGACACGGCCCAGACUCCUACGGGAGGCAGCAGUGGGGAAUUUUGGACAAUGGGCGGAAGCCUGGUCCAACCAUGCCGCGUGCGGGAAGAAGGCCUUCGGGUUGUAAACCGCUUUUGUCAGGGAAGAAAAGGUUCUGGCUAAUACCUGGGACUCAUGACGGUACCUGAAGAAUAAGCACCGGCUAACUACGUU